GGGGUUGUUUAGACUCGACAGGGCGUACUUUCAAAAUAUGCAAGCCGAUCUCGAUGGUAUGAUCGUAAAACUCGCCAUCACGAUGAUAAAUGCAAACUUCAUCACAAAGGCAAAGAACGCAUUCGCGCAAGCGUUUGCCCCUUCUUUCGCUCUUGCUCUCGCCUAAUUUUUAGCGCGUAGCCAUCGGAAUCCCGAUUCUCGGUAGGGAACCUCCGGUGUCAUAUAAUCGAGACGACGCGAGGAUAUUUCUUUUUCUUUCCGCCUCAAGCCGUAUUGCAAAAGAAAAAAAUGCCAGAGUUUUUUGUCUGCUUUCUACCUCUGACAUUUACACAAAGCACUCUAAGCUUGUAGAAUAUUUUGGAAAAACGUUUCUGGACAUGGGUGCAAUUCCCAUCAACUCCACAC
This 405-nucleotide transfer-messenger RNA is filed under the name Candidatus Moranbacteria bacterium RIFCSPHIGHO2_01_FULL_54_31. It matches the Rfam family "transfer-messenger RNA". Rfam says of the family: Bacterial tmRNA, also known as 10Sa RNA or SsrA, is named for its dual tRNA and mRNA-like properties. Its role is to liberate the mRNA from a stalled ribosome. To accomplish this part of the tmRNA is used as a reading frame that ends in a translation stop signal. RNAcentral also lists the same sequence under 2 other names. Lineage: Bacteria; Candidatus Moraniibacteriota. The record is from RNAcentral.